RNAcentral lists this ribosomal RNA (487 nucleotides) under uncultured bacterium. Its description in RNAcentral is "partial 16S ribosomal RNA". It matches the Rfam family "Bacterial small subunit ribosomal RNA", at positions 28 to 507 of the family's 1533-position model. The record is from RNAcentral.
GACGAACGCUGGCGGCGUGCUUAACACAUGCAAGUCGAACGCGCCUGUCCUCUGGGUUUCUGGGGGGUGGGUGAGUGGCGAACGGGUGAGUAACACGUGAGUAACCUGCCCCCUUCUUCGGGAUAACGGUCUGAAAGGGCUGCUAAUACCGGGUAUUCACUGGUCUCCGCAUGGGGUCUGGUGGAAAGGUUUUUUUCUGGUGGGGGAUGGGCUCGCGGCCUAUCAGCUUGUUGGUGGGGUGAUGGCCCACCAAGGCUUUGACGGGUGGCCGGCCUGAGAGGGGGACGGGUCACAUGGGGACUGAGAUACGGCCCAGACUCCUACGGGAGGCAGCAGUGGGAAUAUUGCACAAUGGGCGCAAGCCUGAUGCAGCGACGCCGCGUGAGGGAUGGAGGCCUUCGGGUUGUGAACCUCUUUCGCCCGUGGUCAAGCCGCGACGUGGGUCGUGGUGAGGGUAGUGGGUAAAGAAGCGCCGGCUAACUACGUG